AUGAUAAUCUAUCUUAAAAGCAUUUUUAUUUAAUAAAAUACAGAGUCAGCUCAAGCAAGCACAUGCAAUGAGAGACAAAAGGAUUGGUGUUAUUUAAAACUUGAGCACAGGAAGAUCUGAAGAGGAUACUGAGUGAAAUUCAAUCCAGUAAAGUUGAUACAUUCUUGGCAGCUAUUUAAGAUCCUCCAGGUUGAAUGCUAUGAGAAGGGUGAUGGAUCAUUUCUAAGCUUCCAGAAACCUCAGCUCAGAUCUUCAGACUGAAUCUGGAAAAAUGAUUACCUGAAUGUCCUCCAAAACAACACAGGGCCUCUGCUGAAAUUCUUUUCUUUUAUUAUUUAUAGAUGGGAAACAAUAUCUGCUAGUAUCAAAAUGUAAAUCAGUUUAUAACCAUACAGAGUUGGAGGACAAACACGACUGCAAGACAUCACCAUUUACAGAAGGAGGCUACUGUCAUCAUUUGGAGAGUAUAACAGAAAAUGCAUCCCAAAUAGAGACAGAAUGGCUUUUCGGCCUGGCAGAGCCCUGGCUCACACUGUUUCAGUGGCGAACAUCCAGGGUGAUAAUCCCUGCAAGCAAUCGCUUAGCUGGUGCUGAUCCUCCAGCAGGCUGUUGGAGCAAAGGUUAUCAGGUAAGUGAGGAACUCCAGUGA
This 649-nucleotide long non-coding RNA is filed under the name Phasianus colchicus (ring-necked pheasant). RNAcentral's name for it is "lncRNA (ENSPCLG00000002104.1)". Lineage: Eukaryota; Metazoa; Chordata; Aves; Galliformes; Phasianidae. The record is from RNAcentral.